This 168-nucleotide ribosomal RNA is filed under the name Chitinophagales bacterium. RNAcentral's name for it is "partial 16S ribosomal RNA". It matches the Rfam family "Bacterial small subunit ribosomal RNA", at positions 1 to 162 of the family's 1533-position model. Lineage: Bacteria; Pseudomonadati; Bacteroidota; Chitinophagia; Chitinophagales. The record is from RNAcentral.
UUUAAACAAUGGAGAGUUUGAUACUGGCUCAGGAUGAACGCUAGCGGCAGGCUUAAUACAUGCAAGUCGAGGGGUAACAGGUCCUUCGGGAUGCUGACGACCGGCAAACGGGUGAGUAACACGUAUGCAAUCUUCCUCUAACUGGGGUAUAACUUUGGGAAACUGAAG